RNAcentral lists this transfer RNA (84 nucleotides) under Candidatus Heimdallarchaeota archaeon LC_2. Its description in RNAcentral is "tRNA-Ser". It matches the Rfam family "tRNA". From Rfam's summary of the family: Transfer RNA (tRNA) molecules are approximately 80 nucleotides in length. Their secondary structure includes four short double-helical elements and three loops (D, anti-codon, and T loops). Further hydrogen bonds mediate the characteristic L-shaped molecular structure. tRNAs have two regions of fundamental functional importance: the anti-codon, which is responsible for specific mRNA codon recognition, and the 3' end, to which the tRNAs corresponding amino acid is attached (by aminoacyl-tRNA synthetases). tRNAs cope with the degeneracy of the genetic code in two manners: having more than one tRNA (with a specific anti-codon) for a particular amino acid; and 'wobble' base-pairing, i.e. permitting non-standard base-pairing at the 3rd anti-codon position. The record is from RNAcentral. Lineage: Archaea; Promethearchaeati; Candidatus Heimdallarchaeota.
GGCGAGGUACCCAAGUCUGGUCCAAGGGGGUGGUCUCGAAAGCCACUGUGCUUGCACGCAGGGGUUCAAAUCCCCUUCUCGUCA